Molecule: ribosomal RNA, 433 nt
Filed under: uncultured bacterium
Lineage: Bacteria
Description: partial 16S ribosomal RNA
Rfam family: Bacterial small subunit ribosomal RNA
Source: RNAcentral
AACGAACGCUGGCGGCAUGCCUAACACAUGCAAGUCGAACGAGACCUUCGGGUCUAGUGGCGCACGGGUGCGUAACGCGUGGGAACCUGCCCUUAGGUUCGGAAUAACUCCCCGAAAGGGGUGCUAAUACCGGAUAAUGUCUUCGGACCAAAGAUUUAUCGCCUUUGGAUGGGCCCGCGUUGGAUUAGCUAGUUGGUAGGGUAAAAGCCUACCAAGGCGACGAUCCAUAGCUGGUCUGAGAGGAUGAUCAGCCACACUGGGACUGAGACACGGCCCAGACUCAUACGGGAGGCAGCAGUGGGGAAUAUUGGACAAUGGGCGAAAGUCUGAUCCAGCAAUGCCGCGUGAGUGAUGAAGGCAUUAGGGUUGUAAAGCUCUUUUACCCGGGAUGAUAAUGACAGUACCGGGAGAAUAAGCUCCGGCUAACUCCGUG